CACAUAGUAGACAAUAACGAUUUAUUGAAAGAAGGAAACACUCUUAAAUGUUUGCACAGUGCUGAGAGGGGCGGCUACAAAGAUGUUUAAGCCACAUUCGAGGUCCUCAAACAGAUCAGAGCCCAGAUCAGGAGAAGUAUUGUGGGAAAAAAGUGCCUGACCACGUAAAGAAGAAUAGACUCAAGUGUCAAGUUCGUGGCGCGGGUAGUUUUGCCUUUGGGAGGUGAAGGAGGAGAGUUGAGGUGACUCCAUGGAGGACGGCUUCCCGUCCGACCGUGGGCACUCGGCAAGCGGCAGCAGGCGCCACGCAAAUGGACAGGUGCAGGGAGAGGCCCCAGGGCCAUGUUAAGGAAGAUGGGGCUAAGUGGAGAUGCGGGAGCGACGGGAGGGCGGAAGGGCCAGUAACUGUGCUGCACAAACCUCUGUUCCUGAGCGCAGCGGGAAGGCAGAUUCUCAUGGUGCAGCUGAUUCUGGUCAGUGGAACCAGGGUUGGGCUCAGGAUCUGCAAUUUUUAAACCAUUUAUUUAUUUAUUUAUUUGAGGGAUGGGGGGAUGUAGGAGCAGAGGGAGGGAGACAAGCAGACUCUGCACAGAGCACAAGAGCCCAGAGCACAGGGUGGGACUCGAUCCCACCAUGAGCUGAAAGCAAGAGGCGGAUGUUCAACAGACUGAGCCACCCAGGCACCCCUUUUACUUUUUUUUGUUUUGUUUUGUUUUUUAGGUUGGCUCCAUGCCCAGUGUGGGGCUUGAACUCACGACCCUGGGAUCAAGAGUCACACGCUCUUCCAACUGGGCCACCCAGACCCCCUAGGCAUGUGUGUCUUAAGCAAGUGUUCUCGUGCUUCCGAAGCAGGUUUUCCAUCGGGUCCUUGUGGCUGGGCCGUUGUGAAGAUGAGAAGCAGCACACAUCUCGGGAGACAUUACAGUUCCCUCAAGCACAGGAACUGCGCCGGAUGUGGGACUACAGAAGACCCUGCGUGCGUGUUCCUGGCCAGCAGCCAUGCCUGCUCUUGUUCGCACAGCUUCCCUGCGUGUGGGUCUCCAGUCCUGCCUUCCGGCUGUGCGCUUCACUAAGCUCUGGCCCCGACGGCUCCGAAAAGCCACCUACUAAUUAACCUCAGCAACUCCUGACCCUUACAUUCCGGCUCUGACCGCAUUGAGGACAGUCACGUGACCUGAUCCUGGGCGAGGUCAGGCCGCUGGAAGCAUCGCUGCGGGAAAGUUCCUCAUCGUGUGAAAGAGACGCAAAGAGCCGUGAUGCGCUGUCUUCCUCCAGGGGAGGAUGUGGGAAUGUGGUGCCUGGGGGAGCCCGGCCAGGACUCCGAGGAAUGACGCUGUGGAGUCAUCACAUGGACCCCCCUGGGGUCACUGCAGCUCACAGUUUCUCGAGUCGCAGUUCCAAAUCCCAUUACUGCUCACGCCCUGCUGAGUUGUUCUGUCUAGUUGACCCUUGUCCGUCAAGUAGGCAGUUGACUCUUCAGGAGCACAGAAGAUGUUUGGGAUGGAAGUAGACGGUUUUCUAAUCAUUUAAUGCCCGUGGAUACGGGUGCUGACAGCACAGUAGUUAGGAACCUUCUUUUUUUUUUUUAAGAUUUUAUUUAUUUGACAGACAGAGAUUACAAGUAGGCAGAGAAGCAGAGAGAGAGAGGAGGAAGCAGGCACCCCGCAGAGCAGAGAGCCCAAUGCGGGGCUCCAUCCCAGAAUCCUGGGAUCAUGACCUGAGCCAAAGGCAGAGGCUUUAACCCACGGAGCCACCCUGGUGCGCUGCGCCAACCGUUAUUGAAGAGGUACCGAUGUUCCGUGUGUAUACUCGCUUCAUAACGUGGUUAAAAUGGGAGUGACAGGUGCUCAUGGGCCAUGGAGGGCACAACAGCUCCUUACGACCUCACUGAAGAUCAGUUACGAAGCACUCAUCAGAAUUCCACCAGGAUGGGGACGCCUGGGGGGACUCAGUCGGUGAGGCGUCUGCCAUGGGCUCAAGUCUCGACCUUGGAGUUUUGGAAUCGAGCCCCACCUUGGCUCCAUGCUUGUCCCUCUCACUCUGCCCCUCCCCCUGCUAGUGUGCACUCUCUCUGUCAAAUAAAGAAAUGAAAUCUUAAAAAAAAAAAUCCACCAGGAUAUUCACUGUAACAGUAAAACCCUGGACACUGGCAAGUAUCCACCAAUAUGGCCCCAGUUAGGUAACUACUUAUGUAUGGUUCUGUUAUACAAUACAGUGAUCUGUAUAUGCUAAUUUGGAAAUGCUUGACUAUAUUAUUAAAUGAAUAGCGCAAAAUACAAAACCCUAUGCUUAGCCUGAUGUGUUUUGCUUUUGUUUUUGUUUACUCCUUUCAUAUAUAUAUUUUUUCAUUUUGGAGGUAGAGUUUAGUGACUCAAAAGUUGUAUAAUCAGGGCUCAUCCCAUCAAGUGCUCUCCUGAAUGCCCAGUUGCCCCGUCCGCCCGCCCACCUCCCUCCAGCAACCCUGUUUGUUUCCUAGAGUUAAGAGUCUCUUACACUUUGCCUCCUUCUCUGUUUUUAUCUUAUUUUAUUUUUUCCUCCCCGACUCCUAUGUUCAUUUGUUUUGCUUCUUGAAUUCCACAUAAGUGAAAUCAUAUAACUGUCUUUCUGUGAUUGAUUUAUUUUGCUUAGCACAACACCUUCUCAUUCCAUCCACGUUGUUACAAAUGGCGAGAUUUCAUUCUUUUUGAUGGCUGCAUGAUAUUCCAUAUGGAAACAUGAUCUCUUUCAUAUAACAGUUUUAAAACAUAGAAAUUCAUAUGUAAUAAUGUAUCUCUUAGAGUUGUUUGGGUUUUUUCCCCUGGAAGGAAUCAUAAGAAAAUGCUAUUAGUGUUUAUUCUUUAGGGGCUCACAUCACUUUGUUUUUUUAAUUGUAGCCGACACUGUGAUUUGGUGCUCUGGUGUCGUUCAAAGCCCCCACCCCAUUGCCUUCCAAAUCCAGCGGAGGCAAGAAAGCAGAAGGGCUUGGGUCUUUAGAAUCCCCUGCAGCUAGGUUGGCCUUGUCAUUAUGGAAAUGUUCUACCUGAGGACAGUCAGGGGAAGUCUCUGGGAAAGCUAUUUAGAAGGGACUCACUUGACCUCAGUGCACAUACUCUCCUGCCUUCCUCACUGAGCCUAUUUUCGAAGAGGCCAGUCGUAUGACCCCUACAUGACUUCCCCCACUGAUCUGGACUACAGCCCCAUCAGAACCUCUGGGGAAGAGUGAAAAGGCAAUUGGAUUCUCCAUGGCUGCAGAGCCCGUGGCUCCUACCUUUGAUGGGUCAGCCACGGCGGCCACCAGUGAACUGGACAUUUGUUCAGAGAACAUUGGCGUGAAGGUUGUGCUACGGUUUAUGUGCGAGAGCUAAUGACCAGAGCGCCAGAGGAGACCUGCAUCUGCAGGGAGACGUCAUUGUCACCACCGGUCAUGCUUGCAACGAAACGAGCACUCCACUGACCUGCUACCUGCUCCUUCCCGUGAAGAGUCAGAGUUCAGAAGCCUACGUCGACAGAAUAGAGUUGAUUUUUCUAGAAAAUUGGUCAAGUAUUACAAAUGAGACUUCCAGCUGGAGAGACACAUUUUUUAACAAGUCAUCUAUACUGAGGGCACGGACGAUGCAUGGACCUUUCCAAGUUUUUGAGUGAGAGGGACAUUUAUGGACUAUGUCGCACAAAGAUGGGCUCAACAGGUUUCUGUCUGAACUAAGAAGAGGGUGAGACUUACCCGCACCUGAACCCAAUGCCCCCUGUCGCUACCCUUCACGCUUUCUCUGCCUGAGGUCCAGCAGCCCCUUGACAGUCCUGAAGACAAAAGGCCUUUGCUGGGGGGCAGCAGAGCGGGAGGUAGAGGCCGUUUGGAAUUUGAACAACCUGCACCAGGUCUAGACUGCUCACCCCCAGAGUCUUUCACUGCGUGGGAAGAACAGACUUCUGUCUGUCUAAGACAUGUUGGUCUGGUUUUCUGUUGCUCGCAGCCAGGCGUGCUCCUAAGAAUACUGGGUGUUUUCUAGUUGCCUCUCCAGGUCCAAGUUCUAUCCUUCCCAACUGCUCAGGGUCCCAAGAGGCUGUCUUGUCGGGACUGCAUACACAAGCUCACCUGCCCGCGGGCUUCUGGUGGCACUUGGCCCAGACACUCUACUCCUGUGAGUCAGCAACGUUCUAUACUUGCCAGAGUACACCAACAAACGUUCACAAGGACAGGGACUGCAGGAUUGUCUGUAAUGGCAAAAUAUUGAAAGCAGCCCAAAUGUCCAUCCGUCGGGAGGCUCACUAAAUACAAUAUGGUGUGAUGUACAUUAGAAUACUUUGCAAAAAGAAAAAAGGGGUAGCUCUGAGGUGCUGCCAUUGUAUGCAUAUAUAUAUAAUAUCAUGUAUAAUAUACUUAAAAGUCAGCAUUAUAUAUAUCUCCCGUAUCCGUUGACAUAUAUAUGUGUGCGUAUAUAUAUAUCCUUACAGAAAGGAUAAGCAAACUGUCGCUACCUUUUUUAAAAAACAUCUAUGAAGAACUUAAAUUUUCUUACCAUGUUUGUGUUACUACUUUAUUUCUUUAUUUUUUAUUAUUGUGUUAUUGAAAUGUCAACAGGGCUGUUUAAGGCCUGCUUUACCCUGGGUUCCCCAGGAAAUAGAGCGUAAACCAAAGGCUUAUGUGUCUGGCUUUAUAGCAGGGAAAGCAGUCCCCGGCGUGAGGGGCAGAAGGGCCGGAAGGAGACACCAGUGUCAGCGCGCCUUCUCACACUGACCAUGAAGUGUGGUGGGUUGUUCAGACUCACAGAACACGCUCUUAAAAGCUAUAUAAUCUACAUUUCAGGAAAAUCUCUCCCUGGCAGAAAGAGGGAAAAAUUUAUUCACUGAGUCCAGUGUUCCAUUAUUCAGAGGUUUGUCCCAAGAGACAUUAACUGUCCUGCCCUUGGGGCUGUGCGAGCACUUGGUGGUGAGCAGGGUUACGGGGCAGCAACAGCACGGAGCCCCAAGGGCAGAAGCUGGGAGGAGCCUGCUGAGGGCACCUCUCCAGUCCAGUCCGUGUCCGUGUCCGUGUCGUCAGCACAUGCCCACC
Molecule: long non-coding RNA, 5029 nt
Organism: Mustela putorius furo (domestic ferret)
Lineage: Eukaryota; Metazoa; Chordata; Mammalia; Carnivora; Mustelidae
Source: Ensembl